This 572-nucleotide ribosomal RNA is filed under the name uncultured bacterium. RNAcentral describes it as "bacterial SSU rRNA". It matches the Rfam family "Bacterial small subunit ribosomal RNA", at positions 8 to 573 of the family's 1533-position model. The record is from RNAcentral.
AGAGUUUGAUCAUGGCUCAGAUUGAACGCUGGCGGCAGGCUUAACACAUGCAAGUCGAGCGGUAACAGGAGAAGCUUGCUUCUCGCUGACGAGCGGCGGACGGGUGAGUAAUACUUAGGAAUCUACCUAGUAGUGGGGGAUAGCUCGGGGAAACUCGAAUUAAUACCGCAUACGACCUACGGGAGAAAGGGGGCAACUUGUUGCUCUCGCUAUUAGAUGAGCCUAAGUCGGAUUAGCUAGAUGGUGGGGUAAAGGCCUACCAUGGCGACGAUCUGUAGCUGGUCUGAGAGGAUGAUCAGCCACACCGGGACUGAGACACGGCCCGGACUCCUACGGGAGGCAGCAGUGGGGAAUAUUGGACAAUGGGGGCAACCCUGAUCCAGCCAUGCCGCGUGUGUGAAGAAGGCCUUUUGGUUGUAAAGCACUUUAAGCAGUGAAGAAGACUCCAUGGUUAAUACCCAUGGACGAUGACAUUAGCUGCAGAAUAAGCACCGGCUAACUCUGUGCCAGCAGCCGCGGUAAUACAGAGGGUGCAAGCGUUAAUCGGAAUUACUGGGCGUAAAGCAAGCGUA